This 495-nucleotide ribosomal RNA is filed under the name uncultured bacterium. RNAcentral's name for it is "partial 16S ribosomal RNA". It matches the Rfam family "Bacterial small subunit ribosomal RNA", at positions 28 to 507 of the family's 1533-position model. The record is from RNAcentral.
GACGAACGCUGGCGGCGUGCCUAAUACAUGCAAGUAGAACGCUGAAGGAGGAGCUUGCUUCUCUGGAUGAGUUGCGAACGGGUGAGUAACGCGUAGGUAACCUGCCUGGUAGCGGGGGAUAACUAUUGGAAACGAUAGCUAAUACCGCAUAAGAGUAGAUGUUGCAUGACAUUUGCUUAAAAGGUGCAAUUGCAUCACUACCAGAUGGACCUGCGUUGUAUUAGCUAGUUGGUGGGGUAAAGGCUUACCAACGCGACGAUACAUAGCCGACCUGCGAGGGUGAUCGGCCACACUGGGACUGAGACACGGCCCAGACUCCUACGGGAGGGAGCAGUAGGGAAUCUUCGGCAAUGGACGGAAGUCUGACCGAGCAACGCCGCGUGAGUGAAGAAGGUUUUCGGAUCGUAAAGCUCUGUUGUAAGAGAAGAACGAGUGUGAGAGUGGAAAGUUCACACUGUGACGGUAUCUUACCAGAAAGGGACGGCUAACUACGUG